AACGAACGCUGGCGGCAGGCCUAACACAUGCAAGUCGAGCGCACCUUCGGGUGAGCGGCGGACGGGUUAGUAACGCGUGGGAAUAUACCCAGAUCUACGGAAUAGCCUCGGGAAACUGAGAGUAAUACCGUAUACGCCCUUCGGGGGAAAGAUUUAUCGGAUUUGGAUUAGCCCGCGUUAGAUUAGAUAGUUGGUGAGGUAACGGCUCACCAAGUCUACGAUCUAUAGCUGGUUUUAGAGGAUGAUCAGCAACACUGGGACUGAGACACGGCCCAG
This 276-nucleotide ribosomal RNA is filed under the name uncultured Thalassovita sp. Its description in RNAcentral is "uncultured Thalassobius sp. partial 16S ribosomal RNA". It matches the Rfam family "Bacterial small subunit ribosomal RNA", at positions 29 to 334 of the family's 1533-position model. Lineage: Bacteria; Pseudomonadati; Pseudomonadota; Alphaproteobacteria; Rhodobacterales; Roseobacteraceae. The record is from RNAcentral.